This 258-nucleotide ribosomal RNA is filed under the name uncultured bacterium. Its description in RNAcentral is "partial 16S ribosomal RNA". The record is from RNAcentral.
CUGCUGCCUUCCGUAGGGGUUUGGGCCGUGUCUCAGUCCCAAUGUGGCCGUUCACCCUCUCAGGCCGGCUACUGAUCGUCGCCUUGGUGGGCUGUUACCCCGCCAACAAGCUAAUCAGACGCGGAUCCAUCGUAUACCACCGGAGUUUUUCACACCGUCUCAUGCGAGACUGUGCGCUUAUGCGGUAUUAGCACCUAUUUCUAAGUGUUAUCCCCCAGUAUACGGCAGGUUAUCCACGCGUUACUCACCCGUCCGCCA